UAAUGGCUCACCAAGGCGUCGACGGGUAGCCGGCCUGAGAGGGUGACCGGCCACACUGGGACUGAGACACGGCCCAGACUCCUACGGGAGGCAGCAGUGGGGAAUAUUGCACAAUGGGCGAAAGCCUGAUGCAGCAACGCCGCGUGAGGGACGACGGCCUUCGGGUUGUAAACCUCUUUUAGCAAGGAAGAAGCGAAAGUGACGGUACUUGCAGAAAAAGCGCCGGCUAACUACGUGCCAGCAGCCGCGGUAAUACGUAGGGCGCAAGCGUUAUCCGGAAUUAUUGGGCGUAAAGAGCUCGUAGGCGGUUUGUCGCGUCUGCUGUGAAAACCCGAGGCUCAACCUCGGGCCUGCAGUGGGUACGGGCAGACUAGAGUGCGGUAGGGGAGAUUGGAACUCCUGGUGUAGCGGUGGAAUGCGCAGAUAUCAGGAAGAACACCGAUGGCGAAGGCAGAUCUCUGGGCCGUAACUGACGCUGAGGAGCGAAAGGGUGGGGAGCAAACAGGCUUAGAUACCUGGUAGUCCACCCCGUAAACGUUGGGAACUAGUUGUGGGGUCCAUUCCACGGAUUCCGUGACGCAGCUAACGCAUUAAGUUCCCCGCCUGGGGAGUACGGCCGCAAGGCUAAAACUCAAAGGAAUUGACGGGGACCCGCACAAGCGGCGGAGCAUGCGGAUUAAUUCGAUGCAACGCGAAGAACCUUACCAAGGCUUGACAUAUAGAGGAAACGUCUGGAAACAGUCGCCCCGCAAGGUCUCUAUACAGGUGGUGCAUGGUUGUCGUCAGCUCGUGUCGUGAGAUGUUGGGUUAAGUCCCGCAACGAGCGCAACCCUCGUUCUAUGUUGCCAGCACGUAAUGGUGGGAACUCAUGGGAUACUGCCGGGGUCAACUCGGAGGAAG
This 900-nucleotide ribosomal RNA is filed under the name Microbacterium sp. R70. RNAcentral's name for it is "bacterial SSU rRNA". It matches the Rfam family "Bacterial small subunit ribosomal RNA", at positions 258 to 1172 of the family's 1533-position model. Lineage: Bacteria; Bacillati; Actinomycetota; Actinomycetes; Micrococcales; Microbacteriaceae. The record is from RNAcentral.